RNAcentral lists this unclassified non-coding RNA (329 nucleotides) under plant metagenome. Its description in RNAcentral is "partial contains 5.8S ribosomal RNA, internal transcribed spacer 2, and large subunit ribosomal RNA". The stretch from base 1 to 105 matches the Rfam family "5.8S ribosomal RNA", at positions 50 to 154 of the family's 154-position model. The record is from RNAcentral.
GAAAUGCGAUAAGUAAUGUGAAUUGCAGAAUUCCGUGAAUCAUCGAAUCUUUGAACGCACAUUGCGCCCUCUGGUAUUCCGGGGGGCAUACCUGUCCGAGCGUCAUUGCGAACCCCUCAAGCACGGCUUGUGUGAUGGGCCCUCCCGCGUCUUGGUCGUCAAGACGGGCCCGAAAUGCAGUGGCGGCUUCGCGGUUAUCCGAUCAGCCAGAGCGUAUGGGGACUUUCUCUCUGUCACACGCCCGCGGCGCGGACCGACGCCUGUCGACCUUUAUUCAUCUUUUUCUCGGUUGACCUCGGAUCAGGUAGGGAUACCCGCUGAACUUAAGC